GUACUAUACAAUAGUUAAAACUUUCAACAACGGAUCUCUUGGUUCUGGCAUCGAUGAAGAACGCAGCGAAAUGCGAUAAGUAAUGCGAAUUGCAGAAUUCAGUGAGUCAUCGAAUCUUUGAACGCACAUUGCGCCCUGUGGUAUUCCGCAGGGCAUGCCUGUUCGAGCGUCAUUUCAACCCUCAAGCACUGCUUGGUGUUGGGCCCUGCCCGUCGCGGCCGGCCCUAAAGACAGUGGCGGUGCCGUCUGGCUCUAAGCGUAGUACAACUCUCGCUCUAGAGUCCUGCGGUAGCUCGCCAGAACCCCUAAUCUUAUGGUUGACCUCGGAUCAGGUAGGGAUACCCGCUGAACUUAA
This 355-nucleotide small RNA is filed under the name uncultured fungus. RNAcentral describes it as "eukaryotic LSU rRNA". The stretch from base 19 to 172 matches the Rfam family "5.8S ribosomal RNA". The record is from RNAcentral. Lineage: Eukaryota; Fungi.